GGCUAUCAACAGGCUUACAUUUCAGCAAAAUUUAUUUAUUAACCUCAUUUUUGUAGAAAUUCCCAAAUGUGCAAUGGACAUGGAUGUAGACCAUAUCGAAGAUGAGCUGGAGAAUAACUCAGCUGAAAUUUUGGAUAUCCGAGAUGCUGACAUAGACCCGAAUGAAUUUUUAAUGGAAACUGUGGAUAUCAAUGACAACUCGUUGAAUAACUCCGCUGAAAUUUUGGAUAUCCGAGAUGCUGACAUAGACCCGA
This is a long non-coding RNA of Planococcus citri (citrus mealybug), 254 nucleotides long. RefSeq lists it as uncharacterized. NCBI's taxonomy places the organism in Eukaryota, Metazoa, Arthropoda, Insecta, Hemiptera, Pseudococcidae. The record is from RefSeq and is a predicted model, not a curated record. The transcript has 3 exons.